GGAAGGGCAUAGCUCAGUGAUAGAGCAUCUGCUUUCCUUGCAGAAGGUUCCAGGUUCAAUUUUCAGCACCUCUGGUUUCCU
Non-coding RNA from Podarcis lilfordi (Lilford's wall lizard), 81 nucleotides. NCBI's taxonomy places the organism in Eukaryota, Metazoa, Chordata, Lepidosauria, Squamata, Lacertidae. The record is from the annotation of a GenBank genome assembly.